RNAcentral lists this unclassified non-coding RNA (292 nucleotides) under Hevea brasiliensis (rubber tree). Lineage: Eukaryota; Viridiplantae; Streptophyta; Magnoliopsida; Malpighiales; Euphorbiaceae. The record is from RNAcentral.
GCUAUAAUAUGUUUCAAUUCAUGCCAAUGAAAACUAAAUGUAAAAGAAAUAAUUAUAUACACACACAUAAGCAUUGUUGUGGUUCACAUGGUCAUUGGCCUAUAAAAGAGCCUCUUGUAAUUUUACCAUUAUAAUUUUUAACCUUUUAUUAAUGUUGUUUGAAUUCUUAAAGAGACUAGUUCACUUUUCACUUUAUUAAUAAUAUAAUUAUAUCUUUUUAAAGAGUUUAAUGUUGAUCUUAGGAGACUAAGUUAAUAAUUACGUUGUUUUAAAAGUUAAAAAUUAUAAUGUU